RNA transcript from Eriocheir sinensis (Chinese mitten crab), 2758 nucleotides. RefSeq lists it as uncharacterized. The record is from RefSeq and is a predicted model, not a curated record. The transcript has 3 exons. Lineage: Eukaryota; Metazoa; Arthropoda; Malacostraca; Decapoda; Varunidae.
CUGGGCCGGUACUUAUAAAGAGUCAUACCGCUAUGAAUUAUUCAUAACCCUUCAAAAUGGCGGAUAUUUGCCAUAAAUAAUUCAUAAGGGAUACAUAAGCGUUAAGAAUAAUUCAGAAGUCGGUGUCAUGCUGAGACUGGUCGAGAGGUGUUAUACGGGCUUAUGAAUAAUUCAGAGGCAUCAUGGCCGAACAACAACAAGUUCGUGUACGUCAGCCAAGGGAAUUUCGUGAAAGGAGAGAUGUCCUGAAUGAACUCAGUGAUACGGAACUCAUCAGAAGGUACCGACUCGAUCGUGCUGGCAUUGUUUUUGUGACAGACUUAGUGCGGCCCAUGUUAUUGAGACCAACUAACCUAACCUUACCUUUCCUCAUCUAUUUUCGUCCUAUAACCUAAACUAAAUAUUACCUAACCAUGGUUGGGGCUAUGCCCGCUAGAUCUCCCGUUAUGUACUAAACCUGGUAAAUUUUUACAUUGUUCCCCGUCACACAGUUCAUGAGGAGAAUAUUUUUUUCUGGUAGAUGUAGGUGUGUUUUGAACAUUUUGAUAACCAUUUCUGUUGCAGAUCAGUAGUUUUCCUUCUUUAUCCCCCCUUCCCUGCAUCAAAAAGUAAAGAUUUAUUAUAAAAUCAGUUAGCACAUUCAUUUAAAACAUACCAGAAAAAAUAUUCAAACGUAACCAAACCAAACCAAACCAAAAUAAUACCGGAAUUCUAUAUGGGUAAGAAAAUUUUUUGGUCCAGUAAGGUUAGGAAGUAUUGUACGGAAAAUGUGUAGGUGAUACUUGACUUUGAUUAAAGGGAUGAUUAAUGAAACAAACAUACAUACAUACACUCAGAAAACUAAAUAAAAAUCUGAAGGACCAUGUUUCAGGAAUACCAGUUGUUCUUACCUGUUGAAGCAAAAUCCUUGUUAACUUGGGCAAGUUUGGGGCGUGCUAUUACAAUGAUAGUGUGCCAUCGCUUCUGGCAUUCCUUUAUGGUCCUCUGCCCCGCAGGAAAGGCUUGCAGGAGUUUGUGCACAAUGGUUUCCCAUGCCUUUUGCUUCGUUUGGUGGGUGCAGCCUUGUUCGCUAAAGUUGCUUCUCAGCACAUGUGCGUGGUCCUUGUAAAGCUGCAGCAAAUACAAUGACUCGUCCAUUGUCCAGUUAGGCUUCCUUGUCCUUUUCUUAUGUGGCGUUGAGGUUGCAGCUGGAGCCUCAUCCAUGAUGACAAAAAAGGCGGUCUAUUGUUGCGGGCGGUGUUCUAUUGUUUACCUUCGAUGCGUUUAGGGUGCCGUGCUAAGGUUAACUACUUUGUUUUGGACAAUAACCUCCAUUUACUUUGAAGAUACAGUAAAAUAAUUACUUAACUAUUAUGAAACUGUGUUUUUAAUGUGUAUUUACAUAUUUUCAGACGUUUCUUUAUCAUUUAAUAGAAUAAAUUGUAUUCAGGGUUCCGACACUUGUAGCCAAUCACUAAUUCACCCUUACCUGUGCCCGUUAUAACUAUGAAAGGGAUAUGAAUUAUUCAUAGUGCUAAUGAACAUUAUUUAAGAAUCUUUCAUAGCUAUUACUAGAUUUAGGACUGAAAUUUAAGAUUUUUUAUAAGUUCCGGCCCUGGGCUAUAUUUUCUGUCCUUCAUGCUAGUCAAUGCUGCCCUGCACCGCCUACUCCCACAUACAGCAGCACAACACAACACCUCAGAGGUGAAUCUUCACAUGUCUGCUAAUCUCACCUCUGGUCAUGAAACGCUUUCCACAAGCAUCACAUUUGAACCCUUUGUGACCAGUGUGUCUUAUGCUAUGAGUCUUCAGGUAUGACUUUAAACAGAAUCUUUUCCCACAAACUUCACAUUCAUGAUUUCUUUCACCAGUGUGUGUAAGGAUGUGUCUGUUGAGGUGACUCUUCCGAUUAAAUCUUUUCCCACAAACUUCACAUUCAUGAUUUCUUUCACCAGUGUGUGUAAGGAUGUGUCUGUUGAGGUUACUCUUCCGAUUAAAUCUUUUCCCACAAACUUCACAUUCAUGAUUUCUUUCAGCAGUGUGUGUAAGGAUGUGUCUGUUGAGGUCACACUUCUGAUUAAAUCUUUUCCCACAAACUUCACAUUCAUGAUUUUUUUCACCAGUGUGUGUAAGGAUGUGUACGUUGAGGUGACCCUUAUGAAUAAAUCUUUUCCCACAAACUUCACAUUCAUGAUUUCUUUCACCAGUGUGUGUAAGAAUGUGUGUGUUGAGGUGACCCUUCCGAUUAAAUCUUUUCCCACAAACUUCACAUUCAUGAUUUCUUUCACCAGUGUGUGUAAGGAUGUGUGUGUUGAGGGUACUCUUCCGAUUAAAUCUUUUCCCACAAACUUCACAUUCAUGAUUUCUUUCACCAGUGUGUGUAAGGAUGUGUCUGUUGAGGUUACCCUUCCGAUUAAAUCUUUUCCCACAAACUUCACAUUCAUGAUUUCUUUCACCAGUGUGUGUAAGGAUGUGUGUGUUGAGGUUACCCUUCCGAUUAAAUCUUUUCCCACAAACUUCACAUUCAUGAUUUUUUUCAGCAGUGUGUGUAAGAACGUGUGUCUUGAGUUUACCCUUCUUGCUGAAACUUUCCCCACAAACUGCACAAUCAUGAUUUCUUUCAGCAGAAUGAGUGAGUGUCUUAGUCAAAGUCACCCUUCCCAGGGAGGCUUUUCUCACACUCCUGGCUCUCAUGGUUUCCUGAACCAGUGUGUGCAAGGCUGUGUCUGAUGAACUUCCUCUCCCCUAUCAAAUUGUCCUACAGUCCUGACACUCAACC